UACGGCCAAAUCAGAUUUCUG
This 21-nucleotide non-coding RNA is filed under the name Caenorhabditis elegans. Lineage: Eukaryota; Metazoa; Nematoda; Chromadorea; Rhabditida; Rhabditidae. The record is from RNAcentral.